GGGUCUUUGUCUCUCGCAGGCCCUGGCACAGGAGCUUGGGAUCCGUCUCCUCUUUCGUCUCCUCCACCUUGGGAGCCCCGGGCUACUCUCUCACAGCCCCUGUUGCUCUGUGCUGUGUAGGUCCUUGGGGACGCACAGUUAAGGUGCCAGGACAUCCUGGAAGCUGGGAAAUGGUGAGUAUGCGGGGUGCGGCAUCCUGAGAGGGGAGAGCAGGCUGCGAAACCGGCAGGACCGGCCUCCCCACGGUUAGCUCCGAGUCUCCCGCAGCUUGGCCCUCACUCCCCUGUGGCUGCAAGAUGGCCGCUGGGCCAGCAGCGGACCCCCACGUCCGGCCCGGCCCAUUCGGUCCUGUCCCUGGGCAGCGCCCUGCUCUGCGCCCACAGCCAUGAGUAUUUCCCAGAUUGUUCAGGGAUGCCAGGUAGGUCACCAGGGAAAAACCACGACUGGGUGUUUGCGUGGGAGGAGCUGCGGCCUGUGGGGUCCACAGUCUCUCUUGUUAAAAAUUAACGGGAGUCUAUGUUAAAAUGUUAACCAGUUUAUCUGAACAAACGGUGAUUGCUGAAAUGGAAAGCACCCAGACAUGAUUUGUGGUCCACCUGAGGGGCAUAAAGGAAAGGCUUUUAUAAGAUGCAUGAGAAAGCAACCCAAAUUCAUAAAUUGUUUCCAGUUAUGUAAUCGCCUUAUUUGAACUAUCCAGAUGGAAAUUUCCUAGUUACAUAUUCAGAGGUUAAUUGUAUGUUUGUCAUUGGUUAAAUCUGCAUUUUGUUUCAGGCUAAGAUAAUGGUUUAUAGGAAAUGUAUUUGAGUUAGGGUUUAAAUUUUUUUUUUUUAACCUAUGAACACAGGGCACUAGAGCCACUUUAGUCUAGUUUUCUGCUCUUUAAUUAUUUGAACACUCCAGAAGAGGACUGGUUUCCUCCUGUUUUUUUAAUGUAUGGCAAAUGGAGCCUCUAAUCGACCACCCUGUUUUUCAGCCUAACUCAGACUUGCAGUAAAAUUAUAAGGUCCUACUUUCUUUGCUGCAUUCUCAAAUGCAACACAUGAGACCAGCUUUCCCUUGCCAAUUUACAAUGCUAUUAACUAUUUGUCCUUUACUAUACAUUUCAUUAAAGUUUUCUAUUAUUGUAUUUCUUUCUACUUCUCCCUACAGUUCUGGCAAUAUUUGCUUUUUAUAUUUAGAAGCCUCCAUUUUGGGCACAUAAAUAUAUAUAGCUAUAUUCUCUUGACAAAUUAACCUCUAUUAUUAUAGUAUGGUAAACUCAUUUCAUGCAUGUGAGAGACAUUGCUAGAAAGUCUAUUUUGUCUAAUUUAAGCAUAACUACCAUUGCACUCCUUUGAUUAUUAUUUGCAUGUAAUAUCAUUUUCUAUCCUUUCACUUUUAGCCUAUGCUCUUAAUUCAUAAUUGAGUCUCCUGUAAGCAGCAUAUUACCAGGUUUAAAAGAUUCAUUUAUCUACUCUGUCUGCUUUAGUGUCUUUUGGCUGUUGUAACAGAAUAUCACAGACUGGUAAUAAAGAAUAGAAUUUUGUUUGACUCAUAAUUCUGGAGGCUGGGAAGGCAAGAAACAUGAUACUGGUAUCUGUUGAAGGUCUAGUUGCUGGAUAAUAACUUGGCCAAAGAUGUGAGGGAGAGAGAGCUUUUUUUUAAAUAUAUAACAGAUCCAUUCUUGUUAUAUUUAGCCCAUUCCCAUAAUAAGAACAUUAGUCCAUUCAUGUGGGCAGAGUUCUUAUAGCUUAAUUAAUUUUUAAAGGUUCCACCUCUUAAUUCUAACACAUUGGCUAUUAAAUUUUAUCCUAAAUUUUGGAGAUGACAUUCCGUCUACAGCAGUAUCUGUUUAGUAGAUAAUUUAAUCUUUUUAUUUGUAAGGUAGUGAUAGGUAAGCAGUUACCAUUGUAAAUUUGUGGUUUUCUGUCCAUUUUAAAUUUGCUUCUUUUUUUUCUGGUUCUGUCUUUCCUGUGGUAUUGUUAAUUUUUGUUGAGACAAAGUUACGCUUUCUUGCUCAGACUGAAGUGCAGUUGCAUAUCACAGCUCACUGUAGCCUCAAACUCCUGGGCUCAAGCAAUCCUCCCAACUUAGCCGCCCAAGUAGCUUGGACUACAGACACACACCACAACACCCAAGGAGCUUAUGAUUCUUCCACCUUGGCCUCCCAAAGUGUUGGAAUUAUAAGCAGGAGCCACCAUGUCCAAUGUGUAAUUUUUGUUGUUUGUAUAUGCUUUAAUUACUUUCUCUUUUUUUAUUACAGUUUUUUUCCUAGUGGUUAUCAAGAGACUUAUAUAAAACAUCUUGUAUUUUAAUAGUCUGGUUUAAGAUGAUAACAAUUUAGAGUAUUCUGAAUUUCGGUAUGUAUUUAGCAUUUUUAGUGACAUUUAUACUUUAGUAUUUUUCAUAGUGUUAGUUAGCAUUUCAUCUUAUCAAUGUGAAGAUUUCUUCUAGACCAUGGCUGGAGAAGUAAAGAAGGUGGGUUUUGCCUGAUUCAGGGACUAUAGAGAGAACCAAGUUCUGCCGGCCUGUCACCUGUCUCAGGUGAGUAUGAAUUCUCUUGUAUCUGCCCGGUCCCGGGCAGAUAGUUGCAGUGGCAGGACCAAGGUCAAACGAGUUAUAGGCAAGUCUACAGUAAGAUGUGGCAGUAUUCGGUUUUGAAGCCGGGACCAUGAUUGGCAAGCUUGACACUUGGUCAAGUGCUUACCCUCUGAAGAUGUGUUCCUUGGUCUUUGCCUCCAGCUGGGUGUCACAUACUCUGAACUGGAUUCCAAAGCUUUCAUGAAAGCACUUAUGUUUGCUGUGGCAGCUGCAUUAUGUUGUGGGGGAUGUGCACGCAGAACCACCCAUUCUGUCAUGCUGCUUAUGUUACUCUCGUUUAUAUUUCACUUUUUGAAAUGAAUGUCAAGCUGGUGAUUUUUAGAUUCAAAAAUUCUAAAAUAAAUUGCUCAAAUUUACACAUUAUGUAAGCUAUUAAUAAAAUUUCUUGUAGGUGCAACAUAUUUAUUAAAAUUUUUGGUUGUAAUUUCAAGCUCACUGCAGGCAGAAAUGAAUCAUUAACAUUUAUAUUCUUUUUUUUAGUCUGUAUCUAAAUGAUGGUAUAUUUUCAUUCCAGAUAUUUACUUUAUACUUCAGUAAUGCUCAGCGUAUUUUGCAAAAUUUUUGUUGUUCUUUUAUUUCGAAACAUAAGGCUUUUUUAGCUCCUGAAAGCUAUAUUAUAGUCAUAUAGUUUUAUUAUAUUUUGUGGUAAGAAGAGCAGAAAUAUAUUGAGGACAUAAUUAAAUUCUCCUAUCUUUUUAAUGAUUAUUAAUUAAAUUCGUCUCUUUAGAGCCUGUUAUUAAUGAUUGUAAUGUAUUUUCUGUACAAUUUUACUGCAAUUUAUUAAAUUCCAAUGACUUAAAAUGUCUGCUUUUCAUGAGUGCACGCAGUUGAACGGUGUAGAUAUCUAAAGAGUCAUUUUUUGGCCGGGUGUGAUCACUCAUGCCUGUAUUCCCAGCACUUUGGGAGGCCGAGGAGGGUGGAUCACGAGGUCAGGAGAUCAAGACAAUCCUGACUAACAUGGUGAAACCCCGUCUCUACUAAAUACACAAAAAAUUAGCUGGGCAUAGUGGCGGGCACCUGUAUUCACAGUAACUCGGGAGGCUGAGGCACGAGAAUGGCGUGAACCCAUUGGGCAGAGCCAAGAUCACACCACUGCACUCCAGCCUGGGCGACAGAGCAAGACUCUGUCCUAAAAAAAAAAAAAAAAAAAAAAAAAAAAAUUUUUCUUUUAAAUCUAUGAUGUAUUCAGGAUUUUAUGUAUUAAAAUCUCUUUUCUUAUUAUCAAUUGCGUGUUAUUGCGUUUCUUUUCUUGGGUAUGUUUUCUCAGAUCAGUUAAUUGUAUUCUUGCUUUUAAAGCUUGAUAUCAUGAGUUGAAUGAUAAUUUUUAGCUCAGUACACUUUAUCUCAAAGUGAUGUUUAAUAUAUGUGUGAAUUAGCUGUGUUUGUUGCUUAUAGAUAUAUCUGUGUGUUUUUCACCUAUUUAAGUCUGACAUCUUUUUUCCUUGUUUGUUUUUUUUUUUUUUUUCAGUUUCAGAUAGGCUUUUUUUUUAAAAGAGAAUUUUAAAACAGAGUCAAAAGAACCAAAAUCAGUUAUUUCUCCUCUUGCAGAGUGGGGAGAUAACUUCCUUCCCCACAGGUUUGAGGCUAGGCUAAGUGGUGAGUCUUGGGGAGAUGCAGAAAAGAUCCAUCCCAGGCACUUGGCUGGACUUAAGUAAGCACAGCCUUUGGGCCACAAGACCUGAUGGCUUGGGUACUGGUCUGGACAUAAGUCCCCAUCUUCCCAGAAAUGUAGUCUUUUGUCUGCAACAACUGGCUGGAGAAAUAUUUCAGAAAGAUGUGUGUCUGGAACACCCAAAGGUAUACCUUUCCUUUCUCCUCGGCAUAGGCCUUGCAGCACUGAAGAAACACCAGGUUUACAAUGGAGCCUUCAAGAGUCUUCAUCCCUAUGGAGCUCAGGGGCUCAUAGGGUGACAGUAGAGGAGACAAGCUAACUUGGGAAGUAUUUGUCCUUCAGCUUCUCCCCAACUGAAACACUAUAUAUUGGGGCCACAGUUCAUGGCAAAACAUACAUGCUCUCUUUCUUUCUCUCACACCUACAUCUCGGGAACCCAACAACUUGAUGGCAGGUAGCUCUGGGUAUCCUUGGUCUGGCAUUCCCUCACUGGGCAUCUAAGCUGUCCUAAAGCUCUUUUCAAUCAUUUCUUACUCUUUCCAGGCCCAUGUGGGUAGGUGUUCCAGCCUUCACUCUUUCAGGCUGAUCAUAAAGGCACAGUGUGGGAAAAUCCCCUACUGUGGUGGCCAUUGCUGGGAAGCAGGGAAGGCUAACGGCCCACUGCUGCCCAAGGCUAGUGUAGACACCAUCUGCUCCACUCGUCUCCUCAAAGAUUGAUAUCAGGUGCAGCAGCUGCUGUCUGGAAUGUUAUCAAACCAGGACUGCACAGGCACUGCAUUCUCUGUGUGGAAGAUGUAAGCAGCAGGCGAGUUGUCCAGGAUGAGAGUUUUCGUCAGGUCCGUGCCCAGAUGGCUGAGGUCCUUGACAUAGCAGCCCUGGUGGAACAAACACAACUCAUGGGCUAGGCCACCCCAGAACACCCCACACUGGUCCAGCACACACUUCACACUCUGUUUGGAAUUGGUGGGUUCUUGUUCUCACUGACUUCAAGAAUGAAGCUGCAGACCCUCACGGUGAGUGUUACAGUUCUUAAAGGGGGCAUGUCCGGAGUUUGUUCCUUCUGACAUUCGGAUGUGUUCAGAGUUUCCUCCUUCUGGUGGGUUCGUGGUCUCGCUGGCUCAGGAAUGAAGCUGCAGGUGUUCAUGGUGAGUGUUACAGCUCUUAAGGCGGCGCGUCUGGAGUUGCUCAUUCCUCCCAGUGGGUUCGUGGUCUCUCUGGCUUCAGGAGUGAAGUUGCAGACCUUCACGGUGAGUGUUACAGUUCAUAAAGGCAUUGUGGACCCAAAGAGUGAGCAGCAGCAAGAUUUAUUGCAAAGAGCAAAAGAACAAAGCUUCCACAAUGUGGAAGGGGACUCGAGUGGGUUGCCACUGCUGGCUCGGGCAGCCUGCUUUUAUUCCCUUAUCUGGCCCCACCCACAUCCUGCUGAUUGGUAGAGCCAAGUGGUCUGUUUUGGCAGGGCGUUGAUUGGUGUUUUUACAAUCCCUGAGCUAGACAAAGGUUCUCCAUAUCCCCACCAGAGUACCUAGAUACAGAUUGUUGAUUGGUUCAUUCACAAACCCUGAGCUAGACACAGGGUGCUGAUUGGUGUGUUUCCAAACCUUGAGCUAGAUACACAGUGCUGAUUGGUGUAUUUACAAUCCCUUAGCUAGACAUAAAGGUUCUCCACGUCCCCACCAGACUCAGGAGCCUAGCUGGCUUCACCCACUGGAUCCUGCACCAGGUCUGCAGGUGGAGCUGCCUGCCAGUCCUGCGCCAUGUGCCUGCACGCCUCAGCCCUUGGGUGGUUGAUGGGAUUGGGUGCUGUGGAGCAGGGGGUGGGGCUUGUCGGGGAGGCUCCAGUCGCACAGGAGCCGAAGGAGUUGGGGGGAGGGUCAGGCAUGGCGGGCUGCAGGUCCAGAGCCCUGCCCCGUGGGAAGGCAACUAAGGCCCAGUGAGAAAUUGAGCACACCAACUGCUGGCCCAGGUUCUAAGCCCCUCACUGUCUAGGGCCGGUGGGGCAGGCCGGCCACUCUGAGUGCGGGGUCCACCGAGCCCACACCCACCCGGAACUCGCGCUGGCCCACAAGCACUGUGCGCAGCCCCAGUUCCCGCCCGCACCUCUCCGUCCACAACUCCUCGCAAACUGAGGGAGCCAGCUCUGGCCUUGGCCAGCCCAGAAAGGGGUUCCCACACUGCAGCAGUGUGCUGUAGGGCUCCUCAAGUGCCGCCAAAGUGGGAGCCCUGGCAGAGGAGGCCCUGAGAGCGAGCGAGGGCUGUGAGGACUGCCAGCACACUGUCACCUCUUAACAGGAUCUGCGUACUUGUUCAGGCUGGAAUGAAUACAGCAAUGAAAAAAACACAUUUAAGCAGUUCCUCCUGUCAUCUCAGGAACUCAUCCAUAUAAGGACUCAUGAGCAAAUGGAUCUGGUGCCUGGUCUCCUCAAUCUCUACAGGCAUUAGGCAGUCAGCAUUGCUGAAUGCCUUCAAGGAGCUAGGCACAAGGGUUUCAUCCAAGUCAGUGCCCAUACAGAUCCUUCCUUGAUUUUUCUCUGCCACCUCUGGGAGCAGGCAGGUUCCUGGGAUCUGAUAAAACUGAUACUGGAGACUCUGGAGCUGAAUUGACUUAGCAAUGGUGUUGACUUCCUCCUUAUGUGUGGAGAGCUCAGCAGGGGAACGUGACUGGCCAACAUGCUGGGUGCAAGAAGAGCAGAAAGGGGCCUUCUAAGGUGUGACAAUCAUGAGACCUCUUCGGAGAGCACUUUGGAAACCAGGACUUGCUUGGUGGUCUAUCUGGAAUAUUGUGGCAUGUGUGAUUAAAAGUAUUGCAUAUUCUGCUGUUGAGUGGAGAGAUAUAAAUCCUCCACAGCCUAUAAUUUCAAAUGACUUCUUAUCAAGCAUGAUGGAUUUUUUCCUGCUAGAUCAAACCUGUUGCUGGACCUUCUAAUGAAUCUCUAAAUUCAGGGUGGACACGGUGGCUGACGCCUGUAAUCCCAGCACUUUGGAAGGCUGAUGUGGGUGGAUCAUGAGGUCAGGAGAUCGAGACCAUCCUGGACAACAUAAUGAAACCCCGUCUCUACUGAAAAUAUAAAAGUUAGCCGGGCGUGGUGGCAUGAGCCUUUAGUCCCAGCUACUCGGGUGGCUGAGGCAGAAGAAUUGCUUGAACCUGGGAGACGAAGGUUGUAGAGAGCUGUGAUCGUGCCACUGCACUCCAGCCUGGGCAACAGAGUGAGAUUUCAUCUCAAAAAAAAAAAAAUUACCAUUAAUAGGCACCUAGGUUGAUUCAUGUCUUUCCUCUUAUAAAUAGUGCAGUGAUGAACCAACAAGUGCAUGUGCUAUUUUGGUAGAAGAAUUUAUUCUCUUCUGGGUAUAUACCCAGCGGUGAAAUUGCUGGGUUGAAUCAUAGUUUAACUCUCAGUUAUUUGGAAAGUCUCCAAGCUGCUCUCCACAGUGACUGAACUAAUUUGUAUUCCUAUAAACAGUGUAUAAGUGAUUUUUUUCCCUCUAAAAGCUCUUCAACACGUAUUAUCAUGUUACGUUUUAACAAAAGCCAUUCUAACUGGUGUACGAUGGUGUCUUAUUGUGGUUUUUAUUUACAUUUCCUUGAUGGUUAGUGAUGAUGAGCAUUUUUCAUGUUAUUUGGCCACUUGUGUGUAUUCUUUAGAACAGUGUCUGUUAUUGCCCACUUUUUUAUGGGAUAAUUUUUUGCUUGUGAAUUCUUUAAGUUUCUUAUAGGUUCUGAGUAUUAGAUUUUGUCAGGUUGAUAGGUUGUGAAUAUUUUUCCCGUUCUGCUAGCUUUGGGGUUAGUUUGAUUUUAGUUUUCUAGUUUCUCUAAGUGUGAUUUUAAAUUGUUAGUUUGAGAUCUUUCUAACUUCUUGAUGUAGGUAUUUAGCACUCCCAACUUUCCUCUUAACAGUGCUUUUCCUACAUCCCAGACAUUUUGUUAUAUUGUGUCUCUUGAUCUAUUUCAAAAUUUUUUUAAUUUUCUGCCUCAAUUUUCUUGUUUACCCAAAAUUCAUUCAGGAGCAAGUUGUUUAAUUUCAAUAUCAUUCUGUGAUUUUGUGAGACUUUCUUGGCAUUGAUUUUUAUCUUUGUUCCAUUUUGGCCUGACAGUAUGGUUGGCAUAAUUUUAAUUUUUAAAAAAUGUAUGGAUAAUUGCUUUAUGGCUAGGAAGUGGUCAAUCCUAGCUUAUAUUCUGUGAGCAGAUGAGAAGAAUUUACUUUCCAUAGAUGAUGUGUGGCGUAUACUCUAAAUGUCUAUUAGUUUCAAUUGAUCAUGUGUCAAAUCAAACUCCAGAAUUUCUUCGUUAAGUUUCUGCCUAGAUAAUCUGUCAAACACUUAGUGGGGAGUUGCAUUCCCCUACUAUUAUUGUGUGUCUACUUGAGUCUUAUUGUAGGUCUAGCAGUACUUGUUGUAUAACUCUAUGUUCCCCAAAGUUGGGUGCAUCUACAUUUAGGAUAAAUAAGACUUCUUGUUGAAUAGAACUCUUUAUUGUUAUGCAAUACUUUUCUUUGUUUUAUUUUACUAUUAAUUAUUUAAAGUCCUUUUUCUUAAAAGAGAAAAAAUUCCAGGUAUGGUGGCUCAUGCCAGCACUUUCAGACUGAGGCAGUAGGAUUGCCUGAGACCACGAGUUUGAGACCAGCCGAGGCAAUAUAGCAACAUUCUGUUUGUACACUUUUUUUUUAAAGAAACUAUACAGGAAUGGUCGUGUGCACAACUGUGGUCAUAUUUACUCAGGAUACAUAGGUGGCAUGACUGCUUGACUUCAGAAAUUUGAGGAUACAGUGAGCUGUGAUUGCACCACUGCACUCUGUCCCAGGAGAUGGAGUAAGAUCCUGUGUUUUGUCACUAGUACCAUCCUGUCUUGGCUGCUGUGGCCUUUUAGUAUAGUUUGAAGACAGCUAGCUUGAUGCCUCCACCUUUGUUCUUUUUACUUAGGGUUGUCUUGUCUAUGCAGGAUCUUUUUUGAUUCCAUAUGAAAUUUAAAGUAGUUUUUUUUUUCUAAUUCUGUAAAGAAAGUCAACAGCAGCUUAAUGGGGAUAGCACUGAAUUUAUAAAUUUCUUUGUGCAAUAUGGCCAUUUUCACAAUAUUGAUUCUUCCUAUCCAUGAGCACGGAUUGUUUUCCGUUUGUUUGUGUCCUCUUUCAUUUCCUUGAGCAGCGGUUUGUAGUUCUCCUUGAAGAAGUCCGUUACAUCCCUUUUAAGUUGGAUUCCUAGGUAUUUUAUUCCCUUUGUAGCAACUGCGAAUGAGAGUUCACACAUGAUUUGGCUCUCUGUUUGCCUAUUAUUGCGUAUAGGAAUGCUUGUGAUUUUUGAACAUUGAUUUUGUAUCCUGAGACUUUGCUGAAGUUGCUUAUGAGUUUAAGGAGAUUUUGGGCUGAGAUGAUGGGGUUUUCUAGAUAUACAAUCCUGUCAUCUGCAAACAGAGACAAUUUGACUUCCUAUUUGAAUAUGCUUUAUUUCUUUCUUUCUUUGGCUGGUUGCCAGAAGUUUCAGUACUUUAUUGAAUAGGAGUGGGGAGAGCAGGUGUUCUUGUCUUGUGCAGGUUUUCAAAGGGAAUGCUUCCAGUUUUUGCCCAUUCAGUAUGAUAUUGGCUCUGCAUUUGUCAUGAAUAACUCUUAUUAUGUUGAGAUACGUUCCAUCAAUACAUAAUUCAUUGAGAGUUUUUACCAUGAAGAGGUGUGGAAUUUUAUUGAAGGUCUUUUUUGCAUCUAUUGCGAUAAUCAUGAGGUUUUUGUCAUUUGUUCUGUUUAUGUAAUGGAUUACAUUUAUUGAUUUGCAUAUGUUGAAUCAGCUUUGCAUCCCAGGGAUUAAGCUGACUAGAUCGUGGUGGAUAACCUUUUUGAUGUGCUGCUGGAUUCUGUUUGUCAGUAUUUUAUUGAGGAUUUUCGCGUCGGUGUUCAUGAGGGAUACAGGCCUGAAAUUUUCUUUUUUUGUUGUGCCUUUGCCAGGUUUUGGUUUCAGGAUGAUGCUGGCCACAUAAAAUGAGUGAGGGAGCAGUACCCCUUUUUCUAUUGUUUGAAAUAGUUUCAGAAGGAAUGGUACCAGCUCCUCCUUGUACCUUUGGUGGAAUUCGGGUGUGAAUCCGUCUGGUCCUGGACUUCUUUUGGUUGGUAGGCUAGUAAUUACUGUCUCAAAUUUAGAACUUGUUAUUGGCCUAUUCAGGGAUUCGACUUCUUACUGGUUUGGACUUGAGAGGGUAUACGUGUCCAGGAAUUUAUCCAUUUCGUCUAGAUUUUCUAGUUAAUUUGCAAAGAGGUAUUUAUAAUAUUCUUUAAUGAUACUUUUUAUUUCUGUGAGAUCAAUGGUUAUAUCCCCUUUAUCAUGUAUUUGAUUAUUCUCUUCUUCCUUAUUAGUCUGGCUAGAAGUUUAUUUAUUUUCUUGAUCUUUUCAAAAAACCAGCUCCUGGAUUCAUUGAUUUUUUUGAUGGGCUUUUUGUGUCUCUAUCUCCUUCAAUUCUGCUCUGAUCUUAAAUCUUGUCUUCUGCUAUCUUUUGAAUUUGUUUGCUCUUGUUUCCCUAGUAUUUUUAAUUGUGAUGUUAUGGUGUCUAUUUUAGACCUUGUCUGCUUUCACUUGUGGGCAUUUAGUGCUAUAAGUUUCCCUUUACACACUACUUUAGCUGUGUCAUAUUUUAUUUUUAAGUCCUCAGUCUUUCUUUUUCAUCAUGAUAGUCUUGACUGUUUUAUGUUUCUGUAAUGUAAAAUUGACUACACAGUAUUUACAAAGAUUUUACCAAAAUAUUUUAUUGAGAAUGUACAAACCUGUCAGUCAAUU
This is a long non-coding RNA of Pongo pygmaeus (Bornean orangutan), 10942 nucleotides long. RefSeq lists it as uncharacterized. The transcript is spliced from 4 exons. NCBI's taxonomy places the organism in Eukaryota, Metazoa, Chordata, Mammalia, Primates, Hominidae. The record is from RefSeq and is a predicted model, not a curated record.